RNAcentral lists this transfer RNA (69 nucleotides) under Marmota monax (woodchuck). RNAcentral's name for it is "tRNA.Ala". The record is from RNAcentral. Lineage: Eukaryota; Metazoa; Chordata; Mammalia; Rodentia; Sciuridae.
UUGGGGGCUCAUUUGGUAGAGUGCAUGCCUUGCAUGCACAAGGUCCUGGGUUCGAUCCCAAGCACCAAA